GUGACUCAUGUUAGCGUUUGUUUAGGAUUUUAGCUUUCUUCACUUCAAUCUAGAAAUAUAGUGCAUCUGGAAUGGAGUGUUAUUGAAUAAAAUCAUCGAGGAAACGGGUUGCCUAUUUGUUCUGUCAAGCGGCAUGUGUAUAAGUGACGUCUAUCAUUUGCUUGGUAAGGAUGGGUAAAUCCGGCAUGCAACUGACAUGACUGAACUUCGGACAAAAUUUCACUUGGCAGCAAAUUAUAAUUAUUCAUUAAUGUUCGGCAGAACAGAGAGGUCGGGCACAAAGCAAAACAAGAUGAAGAUGUGAUCGAAAGUGUUAUAGACGAAAACAUUUCGCUGAGGGAGUAUCAAAAGGAGCUGGCUGAAGAAGGAAUGAAAGGUACAAACGUUGUUGUAAUGGCGCCUACAAACACCGGCAAGACUAGAGUGGCUUGUAAAAUAGUGCAGGAACUCUUGCGAAAAAAGAAGGACGGAAAAGUGAUAUUUUUAGUUGAAAAUGAAGCCUUAGCCUUCCAGCAAGGAAAGGUGUUUAGUAAACUUCUCCCUGCUUACAUGACUAAAGUAAUCAGCGGGAGUGUCUUACAUGUAAGAGAGAAAAAGCAGUAUUUGAAGGACUUCAUACAUAUGUAAGGCAAAUCAACUUCGUCAAAUUUUGUUUUGAACCUUGUACUACGUGUCACGUUUGGUUGUGUAAAAGUUGGUAAGGAAGAUUUCAUCAGGAGUCACCCACUGCCAAAAUAAAGGCAAAAAAAAAGACAUAAAAAGUGAUACAAUAAUGGCUUUCAUUUGAUAUGCUGAGCAGAGUGUCAAUUAUAUUAAUGCCUAUUUAAAACUUGUAAGAUCUAUUCUGUUUAUAUUCGUUGUCAAUUCAAAUUAAAUUUUAGGUGUUAACAUGAUGAGGUAAAAAGAUGAAAACAAAAUCAACAUUUUGAAUGAGGUAUUUCAAAAUUUCAAAUCGUACUGUAAAAUCACAAUUGCUUCACCUUGAGUUGUUUUCCGAUCUGGCAACUUUUAGAAAAGUGAAUUCAAUCAUUAUUAACCUCAUAUACCGCAUCGCAUUCUCGCUAAACCAACCUCUUCUUUUCCCCUCACCAUGAAUGAUAUUAAAAUUAAACAUUAGCAGUUGUGCGAUACAUGUCCAAAAUUAUGUUGAUAUUAAUAUUUUACUUCAAGUUUUUACAACAGGAUUUGGCAGAACUACAAAAAGUUUGCAUUUUAAAGCAUUAAGAGUAAGAAUAACCUUCCUCUCUUCCGGGAAAAGAUUAUAAGACCCUCUUAGGUAACAAGUCAUUUGUCUUUCUGCCUUAAAAUCCACAAAGGAAAUCAAACAACUUACCGAAUAUUCGUGAGAAUUACCUUUAAAACACAAUUGAAAAAAAAUGAAAGGAUGAGCAAAGUAUUCCUCGAUGCGCUUGUGUUUGAUAAUAUAGUUACCACUGGUAUUUAUGUUAAACAUAAUUCAUAUCUUAAUUAAUUGCAUACAAGAGAAAAUGUUCACUGUCUUUUCAGAAGAGACAUACUAGAAGUUACAGCUCAACUUUUGCUCAACGCAUUGAAAACGAAUGAAAUAGACGGUCUCGCAAUAUUUUCGUUAAUUGUUUUGAUGAAUGUCACCACACGCACGAUCUACAUCGUUACAAUGAAAUCAUGGGUCGCUAUGUGGACCGUAAAUUGCAGGGAAAUGUUGCUGUUUCUCCGCUUUUACAGAUUGUGGGCCUUGCAGCAUCGUUGGGAGUUGGAGGACAUACAGAUCCUAAAGCGGCCAUGUGUCAUAUGAAGAAACUACUAGCAAACUUGGAUGCUACAUUUUUAUGUACAGUUAGGAGAAACAAAAUGGACUUACAGAAAUACAUGAAGAGCAAAUUUUAAAGAGCAUAUUGUGCCGGCUAAAAAGAGGGUCAACGACAUGUACAGGAAAGCUGUCUUGGAAAACAUGCAUGCCAUAGAUCAAUAUAUGAUUACCCAUCCAAGUUUGGCAGAACUACCACCCAUGACCGAAUUAACUGAUAAAUGUCGUUUACCAUCCACCGCUGGUGAUGUCUCAUUUCAAAACUGGCUCAGUGAUUUUAAAAAGGCGUUAGUGAUGUUUCUUCGGAGCGUGUUCGCAGAAUGAUGUUUCCGUGUUAGGAACAUUUGCAGAUGUACAACAAAUCAUUGAUGAUUCAUGCUGAUGCUAGAAUUAAAGAUGCAAAAGCAGUUCUUGUAGAGUUUAUGAACGAGCAUCAAGAAAAACUUGAGGACAACGAAAACAGAUAAGAUGCUCCUAAGACUAUACGAAAAUUUGAAGGCCCAAACCUUCGAUGCUGAACCGGAAAGUCCAAAAUUGUUAAAACCCAAGGAAUUGAUCAACAACACACUUGGAAACAACGAUCACACAAGAGGAAUUGUGUCCGUAAAACUCGUGAGCUGGCUAAAGCACUUUUGAAUGAAACGGAUUCUCUGAAGCCAUUAAAUGCCAAAGAGUGUGUUGGUCAGGGAAUGUCAAAUGAAAAAGGAGACACAAGCAGAAGAAUGUGUUGGAAUACUUCAGAGUCGGACACCAUAAACUCAUUGUUGCUACGUCUAUUGUAGAAGAAGGUUUGGACAUUACAAAGUGUAACCUGAUCAUGUGACAAAUGAGAUCGUUCGAUUACAGUCUGGAGGAAGAGCUAGAGCUGUUAAUAGCAAAUAUUAUGUCUUAACGGAAGAAGGGUCCUAGAUAGUUGAGAAGGAAGAAAAGAAUAAAAUGCUGGAGCAACUCAUGAAUGAAAUUGAUCCACAAUUACAGACUUAUAUUGAGACAGAUCUAGUUGCUUGGAAGUUACAGUUAAUAAAAGUGCAAAAAGGUAACAAGCUUGCGGAAGAAAAACGGGAUAAAGAAAGCAAAUCGAAAAUGACUGACGAUGAGAAGGAAUUACAAUGCUUUAAGUGCAGCAAAUUUAUUUGCAUGUCGUCUGAUAUCCGUAAAAUUUAAGGCACUCAACACGUAGUAAUCGACGAAGCAGUACAAAAGCGAAUCAGUUGGACUAGAAAUCCACUUCCUAAAUUCAAAAAUGAUGCGCUGAAAAAUGAUGGCAAUUCUUUUUGUGGCAACAGCAAUUGUCAGCAAUAGCUUGGCCGCGUCUGCGAAUACCAUGGCACAGAGUUCCCACUGAUUUCUGUCAGCAAAUUUCGCGUAGUUGACAAGAAUGGACAAGGAGAUACCUUUCCAAAGUGGAAAAGCGUUAACUUUGUUGUUGAGGAGUUUAGUCUUGAGCAAUUAGAUGAAGUUGUCGAAAAGAGAAAUGAAGUUGAUAUGUACAUAGACGAAAGUACUCAAAAUAUUUUCCUCAUCUGUUCUUUAGUGCAGUUGUAUUAUAAUCUCAUUAUUUGGGUUAUUUCAUAAUGUCUUUGUAACUUUCCCGGGGGCUAUCGUAUUAACCGGGGCCGUUAUAUAGUAUCAUGUUUAAGCAUAAUUGUGAAUCACAAAAGAAAACAGUUUAUUUUAUGACUUCUGAAUGUAAUCGUCUUUCAAUGAGGAAAAUGUCGAGCAGACUACAUUUCAUGUUUAACUUAUCUUCUAUGUAAUGGACAACAUGGACAGCAUUGCUGCUAUUUUCAAAAAACAAUUGGGUACUCGUGCACAAACCAAGUAACGGCAUUGCCUGGUAACCGUUUAUAGGUUAAAGCUGCACUUGAUUCAGAAAUUAAAUACGUGUUUUCUACCUCCACCUGCCAGAACAAUGUGACUUUAGCGAAAGUCCUUCCUUAAUCUGCAUAUUUCAUGAUAGUAAAUGCUGUAAGCUGAUGUUCAACCAAUGUCUAUGUAACUUCCGUGUACCGUUAGGUUUAACAUCUUGUUACAAUCACCACAAUACACGGUUUUAACGCAGUAAAUGAUUAUAAGCUAAUCAGUUGCCGGUUCAUUAUACUACUGUUCAACAUAACCGAGACUUUGAACAGUAUCCGCAUUCACUUCUAAAUCAAGGGAAAGGGCACAUAUAGACAGUCAUAAAGUAAGUAAAUUCCCAUGCCAAAUUAAUAAGAUAGUAACAAUUAUCCCAUUUGAUUUGUGACAGGAAUUUUGGAUUUGAUUUAAAUAGUUUUCCCCAGGAAGCGCCUUUCGUUUAUUUUUAAAGGUCUAGCCUCAUUUAAUUUCAAAUUUCACUUUCAGUGACUUGUUACAGUAAUGCGUGUCGAGUCACAUUAUAGUGCACAUACCGCGACGUAACAUAGAUAAGAUAGCAAAGAAGUUUCAUUUAGAAAGAGUCUCUGAGCUAAUUGCGACAGGAUAGCUAAUUCUUAGUUUGCCAAUAUUUUCUUGACCAGACUGCAAAGUAAAAAACGUGCAUGUCACUCGAAAGCUUCGGUCUUUUUCAUUGUUUUCGAACAAAAGUCAUAUUUUAAUACCGACCUGCCGAGACGGGAAUCAUAUCUUAUCAAAUGCUUUAUUCAAGUGUUGACGAAAAAAAUGAAAAUUUAAGAUAAUGUCUGUUUUACUGACAAAAUGAAUCCUAAUACAAGACCUAACAUGCUUAUUGAAUCCACGCUUAACUUGAUUGAUUCGAGUAGUAAUGAAUUGGACAUCAUGCGAUCAUUUGACAUCAUGAACGACGUCAUAUAAGAUUCUUUCACUGGUUAUAGGUGCAGAUGGGAAUUUCCGGCCUCGAGGGUAACUGUUUAGGCGGUAACGAGGUUCCUACCGAGUUACCGCCUAAACAGUUACCCGAGAGCCGGAUAUUCCCAUCUGCACCUAUAACCAGUGACAGAAUCUUUUUCUUGCAUACCGAUAUCAAGAUAUAAUAAUA
This is a long non-coding RNA of Mercenaria mercenaria, 4763 nucleotides long. RefSeq lists it as uncharacterized. The transcript has 10 exons. The record is from RefSeq and is a predicted model, not a curated record. NCBI's taxonomy places the organism in Eukaryota, Metazoa, Mollusca, Bivalvia, Venerida, Veneridae.